CAGCUCUAGGAAGCUAAUACAGCAAUGCUCAUAAUAGCAUCAAAAUUUUUUCUAUUCUAAGAUCCUUUGCAGUGGCAAACGUCUCUAGUGAAGAUUCACAGCCAACCACAGGCACAUGCCACGAAAAGCAGGUUAAGCAUUUAUCAUUGCCUUGGGUGUCAUACCUUACCUCAUGUAAUCCUUGUAAUAACACAGUGAUGUCUAAUUCUCCCAGUUUUCAGGAUGAAGAAAUAGAGGUCUGAAGAACUUCGAGGAACAUUCAUAGAACUGAUAAACUAGCACAUGCUGAAGCUGGGAAUCCAGUCGGGGAAAGUGUACCCUGCAUCUACACAAUGCCCUCAGCAGUAGCUCAGGCCAGCUGCACACAGCAGGUCAGCCUGUGCACAGAAUGUACCUGAUUGUGCAAGACAGCAGCCCUGUACUGGCUGAUGGGAAUGCAAUGAUGACAAACAAGCUACGAGAAAUUGUCAGACAUGUCAGAGUCAUUUAAUAUGCCACUAAAAUGUCAGGUAGCAAUCUGUAUUCAUCUGUUUUCUGUUGCUUAUAAUAGAAUACUCACAUUUUGUUAGUCUGUUUGGAGUCUCCUAUUUUUUUUUUUUUUUUUUUUUUUUUUAGACAGAGGUUUUUCUUUUACCCUCACCCUUACCUGCUUGAGCCGAUUAAGCUACUUUACCAAAGAGCCACACUUACCACACCUACUAUUAAACUGGGACAGGCCUUUCGGUUUCCAAAAAGAAUCUCAUGCAAGAAUAGAGCUUUACCAUCGUGGCCUUUUUUUUUUUUUUUUUUUUUUUUUCUUUUCUUUCCUAACUGUAGUUUUCUGGCUUUGUCUCUAUUUGGAUUUCUGGAUCAAGUCUGGUUUUAUUUCUGGUUUGAGGAAGGGCAGUAAUUAAUUCCCUAUUAAGGGCUGAAAGAUAUUGACAGGGGUAAGGGGGCAAGUAACAGAAGGGGUUUACCCAUCUUUUUUGUCUGUUUGGUUUGGAGAGUCUGACAUCUUUUGUUGUUAAAAUAUUAGUACAAACAUUCUAUAAAAUGAAGAGACAUGUUUUAGAAAUACUGUAAGCUGGCAACAAGAUUUGUUAUGGAAAGAACCAUCAGGCCAUGUACAAGUAUGCACUGAACUUGCAAUGAGGUAAUCUUCAUGAGCUCCAUUUGAAAUUAACCGGGCAGAAGCCUUGCCUAUCCUCUCCCUCUCUGGUAACUGUGCUGAUGGCUAGACACCCGCAAAGCAAACUUCUCUUCUGUAAGCUUCUAUCACUCAAGAAACUUUCCUGUGCCUACUAAAAAGGCAAACAGCCUUUUGAGAUCUGGAAUGGCUGAAGUUAGAAAAGUCAUGAAGCUACUAGUUCUUUUCUUGUGUGAAAAAAAUAGGUGUUUUCUCUUCUGGCAAAAUGAAAGUGAUUAACGCUUCUAAUACAGUUUGUUUACUACAUUUUGCAUUUGUGGUUACUCCUCCUCUUCUCCAACCUCUUUUCUUUUCUCUCUCCUCAUCUCUCAAAAAACUUUCAGUGAUUAGUGGGUUAUAAAGCUCUUUUAUUUUGUGUGUGGUCUAUGGCUAACUAGUUCAGUCAGCUCUAACAUCAAAGAGAAGAAAUGAGCCACUUACAUUGAUAAAGUGGCUUAUGUUUAGCAGACUUGCCUCGAUUAGCGUAGAGAACCAAAGAAACACAUAUCAAUUUCAAAUAAAGAUUUUAAAGGUUUAAAAUAAAUGUAAAAGUAAUUGCAGAAAGAAUGUGGAAAAUCAAAUUUAAUGCUUUCAACAUGAAGAUUCUUUAAGAAAACAACUUCAAAAGUUUGCUAAAUUUAUACUUCAGAGGAACAAAAAAGUUUAACUUUGAGAUAAAUUAGUGGCUUUGGUUAUAGGUUACAAGAUAAAAAAACAAAGAAAUGUGAAGGGGCUUAAAACACAAUUUAAAGAGUUUUUAAUAUUUGGUAAGUCUAGAGAUUUAUAACAUAUAAAUCUAUCUAAAAGUUUAAAACACACUCUGAUGCCAGGUAAAAAAUUUC
Molecule: long non-coding RNA, 2007 nt
Filed under: Callithrix jacchus (white-tufted-ear marmoset)
Lineage: Eukaryota; Metazoa; Chordata; Mammalia; Primates; Cebidae
Description: lncRNA (ENSCJAG00000051917.2)
Source: RNAcentral